CCUACGGGUGGCAGCAGUGGGGAAUAUUGGGCAAUGGGCGCAAGCCUGACCCAGCAACGCCGCGUGAAGGAAGAAGGCUUUCGGGUUGUAAACUUCUUUUCUCAGGGACGAAGAAAGUGACGGUACCUGAGGAAUAAGCCACGGCUAACUACGUGCCAGCAGCCGCGGUAAUACGUAGGUGGCAAGCGUUAUCCGGAUGUAUUGGGUGUAAAGGGCGUGUAGGCGGGAGCGCAAGUCAGAUGUGAAACCUCAGGGCUCAACCCUGAGCCUGCAGUUGAAACUGUGUUUCUUGAGUGCUGGGGAGGCAAUCGGAAUUCCGGGUGUAGCGGUGAAAUGCGUAGAGAUACGGAGGAACACCAGUGGCGAAGGCGGCUUACUGGACUGUAACUGACGUUGAGGCUCGAAAGCGUGGGGAGCAAACAGGAUUAGAUACCCCAGUAGUC
This 443-nucleotide ribosomal RNA is filed under the name uncultured bacterium. RNAcentral's name for it is "partial 16S ribosomal RNA". It matches the Rfam family "Bacterial small subunit ribosomal RNA", at positions 338 to 795 of the family's 1533-position model. The record is from RNAcentral.